This 199-nucleotide ribosomal RNA is filed under the name uncultured bacterium. Its description in RNAcentral is "partial 16S ribosomal RNA". It matches the Rfam family "Bacterial small subunit ribosomal RNA", at positions 328 to 539 of the family's 1533-position model. The record is from RNAcentral.
ACGCUCGACACCUACGGGAGGCAGCAGUCGGGAAUAUUGCGCAAUGGAGGAAACUCUGACGCAGUGACGCCGCGUAUAGGAAGAAGGUUUUCGGAUUGUAAACUAUUGUCGUUAGGGAAGAAAAAGGACAGUACCUAAGGAGGAAGCUCCGGCUAACUACGUGCCAACAGCCGCGGUAAUCUGAGCGGGCUGGCAAGGC